AAAGAGGAACUUAUAACAAUAUUAAUGACUUCCCAAGUAUUAAUGCUACAAAGCAAUAGACUUAUUAUAUGCUGCUUCUGUUGACCACUUAUUAACCAUUCUGCACAUGGCUACAAGAAAGGAAAUAGCUCAUAAUGCUUGCUUGCCCUAUUAGAACAUCUUGUCCUCUUUUUAAGUUUAUUUUUAUUUCUUUGGGUUUGGAGUUAUACUCUCUCCUCCACUUGCUAGCGCUGAUCCUAGUUUCUUUAAGCAGACAAAAACAGAAGUGAAUAUUUUUCAGGAUAUCUGCUUUGUGAUAUCAAAAUCACAGCAUGACAGUAGAGAGCACUGCCACCAUUCAACUUCUCUAGAAUGGUCUAUAGUUGACCAAGUCCAAAGCACAUGAUUGAUUACAAAUACUACUCAUGCUAUAUUUUGACAGCUUAUAUUUCCAGAGAACUUCAUUUUCAGGUGUGAAAGACAGGUUUGACCUUCAUUUGGUUCUGUCAGGAGCAGUUUGUUUUCAAACACUAUCCAGAGUUAAUGAGGAAAAUAUUGAAAUUGAGUUUCAAAACAUGGAAAAGUAAUUUACUAUGGUAAUUUUUGGUACACCUCUGUAUAUCUCUGUUGAAUUAUUUCUUGCUUUGGAUAAUGUCCACUCUCUUGAUGUUCAGUAAUAACAGAAGCAACAGCAUAAUCAAACUAGCCAACGGCCAGAGACAAGUUUAUUAUUUUCCUCACCCAUAGCUAAAAUGAGUACAAAACUAAAAGUGAAAUAAUAAUAAUGAUAAUAAUACAAAACUUGCCUUUCAGUCACCACUGGCCUCCCCUAAAUCCUGCCAAAAUAGUAAUAAAGAAAACAUUCCUAGCUAAACUAAGAAUCUUGCUUUGGGAAAUGAUUGCCAUUUUGUCUAUUUUGUCUUCAGCAAGGACACUGGCUACCAACAUAAACAGGUCAGCAAUUGUCUGACACAGUUACAGAAUAGUCACUAUCCCUUGUUGGAACAUCAUAGUUAAACACUUUCUUUCAUCAUCUCCUCCUCUCACCUGGCCCAGCCUAAAUCCAGGGGGAUUAAGACAGGGCAAAAUAAGAACAAAAAUCAGCCACAGUGAAGACCCUAGAGAGUUUUUCUCCUGUAAGUGCAGUGGAAGUUCAGGCUCCAAAAAGCCACCUAGGAAGCUGACCCAUGGCCAACUUAAGACCCACACCCCUCAAGACCCAGCAGUAAUGUACCGGAGGACUUAGCCAAAAGCAACAUGGUAGGAGCCGUGCCAGGAGAGGAGCAGAGGGGUGAGAAGAGAGCACCUCAGAGUGAAAGUAUGGCUUCUGAUGCCUCAUCUGACGAUUCACAGGCUCAUCUCUAAUGCUACUUCAUGCAGGAAGCUUUCCAAGCCUGGAAGAACUAAAUUUGGUUUCUCCCAUCAUCUGGAAAGAGUCACCUCUCUGACUCCCGUCCUGACCCAGCAGAGGAUAUUCACAUUGUUUCUUUAAACAAAAAUAAAUAAAUACAGAAAACCAGAAUCAAAACUUCAAACCAA
Herpailurus yagouaroundi (jaguarundi) is the source of this 1518-nucleotide long non-coding RNA. RefSeq lists it as uncharacterized. The transcript has 5 exons. NCBI's taxonomy places the organism in Eukaryota, Metazoa, Chordata, Mammalia, Carnivora, Felidae. The record is from RefSeq and is a predicted model, not a curated record.